The sequence is a transfer RNA, 73 nucleotides long. It matches the Rfam family "tRNA". From Rfam's summary of the family: Transfer RNA (tRNA) molecules are approximately 80 nucleotides in length. Their secondary structure includes four short double-helical elements and three loops (D, anti-codon, and T loops).
GGCUACGUAGCUUAGUAGGUAAAGCACAUUAUUCAUAAUGAUGAAGUCACUGGUUCAAAUCCAGUCGUAGCUA